GGCGGCAGGCCUAACACAUGCAAGUCGAGCGCACCUUCGGGUGAGCGGCGGACGGGUGAGUAACGCGUGGGAAUAUGCCCUUUUCUACGGAAUAGCCUCGGGAAACUGAGAGUAAUACCGUAUACGCCCUUCGGGGGAAAGAUUUAUCGGAAAAGGAUUAGCCCGCGUUGGAUUAGGUAGUUGGUGGGGUAAUGGCCUACCAAGCCGACGAUCCAUAGCUGGUUUGAGAGGAUGAUCAGCCACACUGGGACUGAGACACGGUCCAAACUCCUACGGGAGGCAGCAGUGGGGAAUCUUAGACAAUGGGGGAAACCCUGAUCUAGCCAUGCCGCGUGAGUGAUGAAGGCCCUAGGGUCGUAAAGCUCUUUCGCCAGGGAAGAUAAUGACGGUACCUGGUAAAGAAGUCCCGGCUAACUCCGUGCCAGCAGCCGCGGUAAU
Molecule: ribosomal RNA, 438 nt
Filed under: uncultured bacterium
Lineage: Bacteria
Description: bacterial SSU rRNA
Rfam family: Bacterial small subunit ribosomal RNA
Source: RNAcentral